GAUGAACGCUGACAGAAUGCUUAACACAUGCCAGUCUUUGGUGAAGCUGUGCUUGCACAGCCUAGCCAAGGCGGACGGGUGAGUAACGCGUAAGGAACUUGCCCUGCAGUCAGGGAUAACAGACGGAAACGACUGAUAAGACCUGGUAAAGUCAGGCGGACUCAUGUCCAGCCUGAUGAAAAGAGAUGCUGCAGGAGAGCCUUGCGUCCUAUUAGCUUGUUGGUGGGGUAACGGCCCACCAAGGCAAUGAUAGGUAGCCGGCCUGAGAGGGUGGACGGCCACAAGGGGACUGAGAGACGGCACUUACUCCUACGGGAGGCAGCAGUGGGGAAUAUUGGACAAUGGGGGCAACCCUGAUCCAGCAAUUCUGUGUGCACGAUGAAGGUUUUCGGAUUGUAAAGUGCUUUCAGCAGGGAAGAAAAAAAUGACGGUACCUGCAGAAGAAGCGACGGCUAAAUACGUG
Molecule: ribosomal RNA, 463 nt
Filed under: uncultured bacterium
Lineage: Bacteria
Description: partial 16S ribosomal RNA
Rfam family: Bacterial small subunit ribosomal RNA
Source: RNAcentral